RNAcentral lists this long non-coding RNA (229 nucleotides) under Malus domestica (apple). RNAcentral's name for it is "long non-coding RNA (MDOM_LNC010226)". The record is from RNAcentral. Lineage: Eukaryota; Viridiplantae; Streptophyta; Magnoliopsida; Rosales; Rosaceae.
AGCCACUUAGUCAUGAAGGCAAGUGUAUGCGCAACAAGGAAUCUCUAAUCCUCGAUAAGAGAGGAAGAAUACUUUAAGAUAUGAUUCGGGAAUCUUCGGCCGAAGUAUCGAGCGUAUUAAAAGGAAAGCGUUCCUAUACGACUCAAAUGAAUCAUAUAUGAAGGAAUAAUCACAUUAGGGGUUUGACAUAAUAUCCAUACCCUAAUGAUGUGAUUGAGAGUAUUGUAUU